UAAGGAAAAGUAGAAACUUCUUGAACAUCUUCGAUCGCAAUCUUUCGGUUUUAAUGGAAGUUAGUAUUUGAAGGUUUCCUUUAUUUUAAAAUGCAUGAAUUUUAUGAAAAAGGAAAGGAAGG
RNAcentral lists this non-coding RNA (122 nucleotides) under Tryblionella compressa. Lineage: Eukaryota; Bacillariophyta; Bacillariophyceae; Bacillariales; Bacillariaceae. The record is from RNAcentral.